CCUACGGGGGGCAGCAGUGAGGAAUAUUGGUCAAUGGCCGGGAGGCUGAACCAGCCAAGCCGCGUGAGGGAUGAAGGUACAGAGUAUUGUAAACUUCUUUUGUCAGGGAACAAAGGCGGGGACGUGUCCCCGGAGGAGGGUACUUGAAGAAAAAGCAUCGGCUAACUCCGUGCCAGCAGCCGCGGUAAUACGGAGGAUGCGAGCGUUAUCCGGAUUUAUGGGGUUUAAAGGGUGCGCAGGCGGGCUGUUAAGUCAGCGGUAAAAGCCCGGGGCUCAACCCCGGCCCGCCGUUGAAACUGGCUGUCUUGAGUUGGGGAGAGGUAUGCGGAAUGCGCAGUGUAGCGGUGAAAUGCUUAGAUAUCGCGCAGAACUCCGAUUGCGAAGGCAGCAUGCCGGCUCCGCACUGACGCUGAGGCACGAAAGCGUGGGUAUCGAACAGGAUUAGAUACCCCGGUAGUC
This 459-nucleotide ribosomal RNA is filed under the name uncultured bacterium. RNAcentral describes it as "partial 16S ribosomal RNA". It matches the Rfam family "Bacterial small subunit ribosomal RNA", at positions 338 to 795 of the family's 1533-position model. The record is from RNAcentral.